Myodes glareolus (Bank vole) is the source of this 544-nucleotide non-coding RNA. NCBI's taxonomy places the organism in Eukaryota, Metazoa, Chordata, Mammalia, Rodentia, Cricetidae. The record is from RefSeq and is a predicted model, not a curated record.
CCUGACCGUUGGGCCCCCGACAUAGCCCUGAAAUUGAGCAAUAGGAAUCUGCCCUGGUGUUGUCCCUGCUGCCUGGCUGGCCCUGCUUGGCACAUGCGGAGAGGUGGUGCUGUUGCUACCUACUGUGUGCAGAGGACAAUAUGGCCGAGGUGUACUUAGAACCUGUGUUUUUGUUUUUUUUUUCCUUGCUUUUGUUUCUUGUUCCUGUGCCAUGCUUCAGUACAGAGCACUGUGUACUUGGGACAUUAUGAGGAGAGGGGUGGAUGGAAAAUGACCUUCCUUCUGCCCCACAGUGAGGCGCAGCCCUUCACCCUGCACCCCGUCUGCCUCUCACCAACCCUGCACCCCGUUGGCCUCUCACCCGCCCAGGCUGGCAGGAAAGUCCCUGCCAGUUUCUUUUCUUGCCACUGAAGGAGGUGACAGGUGUUAGAGACUCCUUCUUCAGGAUUCAGCUCCGUAGACUGAGCAAACCACUAAGCAUCCCCCACCCCAUCAUGGCCUCUGCAUCAGCUCCUGCCUCCAGCUCCCUGCCCUGCUCGGGUUC